AUGUAUUCCCUCAACCCAAAUACACUAUUCCCUCUCCUUCUCUAAUUCCCCCCCGCAUCCAUCCACAACCCACCCCAAAUUUUCUUCAUAGCUAGAUUCAUCUGGCUCUCUUCUUCUCUAGAUUGCAGCGACCGGCGAUGGCACUUUUGGGGAGGCCGCCCUGCGCUCAGGCCGUGCUCGGGCCUUGGAUCCAGCGCAACAACUUGCCCCGCGAGCAGCCCCUCUUCUCCCAGAUUGCAGCGACCUAUGACGGCAGAUUGGAGCAGGCCGCCCCACCGGCCGAGAUGGGAUCCACCGCACCGACCCUCCCCCUGAGAACCCGACCCUCUUGUCUCCCCAAUUGAAGCCACCAGCGACGACUCUCUAGUGCAACUGCCAGGCUUCACACAUUGGUGGCAUACAAGUCCUAAAUUGUGUUUUUGUAAGAUUCAGAUUAAAGGAGGCCGCCGCACCGCCGACCUUGGAUCCACAGCAUCAAUCCGACUCGAGCACCCGACUCUCUUCUCCCCUGCAAUGGGCGAUGUCUCUCGGUGAUUUACUCAUCCUGCCCUCCUCAUGUCGCCACUGCUUGAUGUUCAGUGAUUCGGGUUCAUGCAUACUACUCGUCAUCCUGCUCUUCUAUGUAAUUUAGGAUUUGCCACAACUUGCUAUGGUAAAAAGCCUGAACCUCUUGCCAAUUAACUUUUGAUAUCCUAUUGAUAGAUGUGUGUAAAACUGCACUAUUACAUUUGUUAUAGCCAGCUAUUGUAAAAAGGCCUGAACCUGAAUAUAUGCUACUGCAGUACAGUUAGCCGUUGUGCAAAUGUUUAGUUAGCUAUCAGAUGCAUGGCCUUAGCUGAGAGAUUUCUUUUGCAACCAUGUGCUCGUAUGGCUACUCUCGCAUACAAAAGGAAACUAUAUGUUGACCAUCUGAUUUUUGAACAAUGCUGUAAUGACAAAAACUAGAUCCUCUUGUUCGCUGAAUGGUGUCAUAAUCAGAUGAACAUAAACACAUGAACUAAAGUAUGCAAGUACAAGCAGGAAGCAGCACAUCCUUGUAUCUACAUGUACGAAUAAACUAGCUUCUGGAUGCAACUACUAUAUGUAUGCUAAAACCUGAAACUUAUGGUUCUGCUGUCCCAUAAAUAGUACUUCAGUAGUGUUGUUAAAACUGAAUAAAGACUGAGCCUGCACCUAAUUUUGACUCGCUACAGAGAUGUAUAGCCCUGCACCAGUGUACUUUUCUCUCCACUACUAGAUAAAAUAGAAUUAACUUAAUCUUUUCCAUGCCUCUCGUAAUUGAUUAGCUACCCAUGAUGUUAAGCAUCUGAAGCCCACAAGCAUUUUUAGUAUGCCCAGAACUUGAUACAAGUAGAUACAUGGUAAACUUCAAUUUUUGACUAUAUUAUGACAUACUAAACUGGGUAAAUCAAUCUGCUCCUAAUUUUGGAUGAGUAUAGUAAAUUUUCUGGUUUUCUAAACUAUGCCAGCAGCUAUAGUAAUCAUAUUUUUUGAUGUUUUUAUUCUGAACAUUCUGUUCUUGUUUUUCAUGGUUUGUUGUCUGCUUCUUCCUGACUGUGCCCCAGCUGCAUCAUGCAUGUUGAUUGCUUCACAUGUUAGAUCACAAUGAAUGAAAUCUUCAUUUUCUAUUUAUAUAAUUUGACAGGAACUGCUUGUUGGCAGUGUUGCCUGUUUACGUCUAUUUUACGCAAUCUAGUUCUUUUUGUCUAGCACCAAUGCGAAGCCAACUUUUAACAGGUAAGUCAAUGUAAUCAGUUAUGUUACAAGUACUCCCAUAUGCUUACUCAUAGUGCAAGAAAGGGUAAAUGCUUUUCAUUAAUUUCACUUUAACUAUUACUUAUAUAUAAUAUUAGUGCAUCCUGUGUUUGCAUCCUAACUUAUCUACUUUAUUAUAUUCAGAUGUAAGCUACAGAAUAAUACAUUUGCACAUAUAAAAUGGCUGCAUCUUUUAAGGCCCAUUUCCAAACAAGUUUAUGCAGAAUCCAUUUAUCUAGUGUAGGCUGAUGGUCUUUUUGCAACUCAUUCAGUUCUAUUAUCUUUUCCAUCUUCAGUUACUAAAAUAAUGCCACCAAGCGAGAGCAUGUGAAGAGACGCAGAGGAAGCAACACGAAGAAUUGGAAGCUGUGAAGAAGAGCGAGCAAGAGAAGAAUGAAGCAUGGCAAAAGAAGCAACAUGAGAGGAUAACGUCAUUGGUUUUCUAUUAAGGGCUCAAGCACGUCGACAAGCAACUCAACAGUCCUAGUACAAACCAGAAGGGUCAUGAAGACCGUCCUUUUGUGAUGGAAAUAGUUGUUGAAUCAUACAUUGCAAUCAUCAUGACAACACAUGUUGUUUUUAGUUAUCUAAAUAUUGCUCUUCAACUUGACUAUUGUUGUGUCAAACUCGUGAGUUGGCGUUAUUUUGUACUGUCAUUUUAGUUUAGAGGACAAUUAGGCUGAGAGAUUGAAUAUAUAGUAUGAUUUGUCAUCCAUUUUAUUUUA
This is a long non-coding RNA of Triticum aestivum (bread wheat), 2480 nucleotides long. RefSeq lists it as uncharacterized. NCBI's taxonomy places the organism in Eukaryota, Viridiplantae, Streptophyta, Magnoliopsida, Poales, Poaceae. The transcript is spliced from 3 exons. The record is from RefSeq and is a predicted model, not a curated record.